CGUGUAGGCGGUUGGGUAAGUCAGAUGUGAAAGCCUUCUGCUUAACAGAAGAAGUGCAUUUGAAACUGCUCGGCUAGAGUACGGGAGAGGAGAGUGGAAUUCCCGGUGUAGAGGUGAAAUUCGUAGAUAUCGGGAGGAACACCAGUGGCGAAGGCGGCUCUCUGGUCCGAUACUGACGCUGAGACGCGAAAGCGUGGGGAGCAAACAGGAUUAGAUACCCUGGUGGUCCACGCCGUAAACGAUGGGCACUAGGUGUAGGAGGUAUUGACCCCUUCUGUGCCGAAGCUAACGCAUUAAGUGCCCCGCCUGGGGAGUACGGCCGCAAGGCUAAA
This 332-nucleotide ribosomal RNA is filed under the name uncultured bacterium. RNAcentral describes it as "bacterial SSU rRNA". It matches the Rfam family "Bacterial small subunit ribosomal RNA", at positions 568 to 898 of the family's 1533-position model. The record is from RNAcentral.